AGGAACACGUGAGGAACCUGCCCCGAAGACCGGGAUGACACCGGGAAACCGGUGCUAAUACCGGAUGCCCUCAUCGGAUCUCAUGUUCCGAUGAGGAAAUGGAUUCCGCUUCGGGAUGGCCUCGCGGCCUAUCAGCUUGUUGGUGGGGUAACGGCCCACCAAGGCUUCGACGGGUAGCUGGUCUGAGAGGAUGUCCAGCCACACUGGGACUGAGACACGGCCCAG
This 225-nucleotide ribosomal RNA is filed under the name uncultured bacterium. Its description in RNAcentral is "partial 16S ribosomal RNA". It matches the Rfam family "Bacterial small subunit ribosomal RNA", at positions 109 to 334 of the family's 1533-position model. The record is from RNAcentral.